RNAcentral lists this ribosomal RNA (468 nucleotides) under uncultured bacterium. Its description in RNAcentral is "partial 16S ribosomal RNA". It matches the Rfam family "Bacterial small subunit ribosomal RNA", at positions 28 to 507 of the family's 1533-position model. The record is from RNAcentral.
GACGAACGCUGGCGGCGUGCUUAACACAUGCAAGUCGAACGGAAAGGCCCUGCUUUUGUGGGGUGCUCGAGUGGCGAACGGGUGCGUAACACGUGAGUAACCUGCCCUUGACUUUGGGAUAACUUCAGGAAACUGGGGCUAAUACCGGAUAGGAGCUCCUGCUGCAUGGAGGGGGUUGGAAAGUUUCGGCGGUUGGGGAUGGACUCGCGGCUUAUCAGCUUGCUGGUUGGGUAGUGGCUUACCAAGGCUUUGACGGGUAGCCGGCCUGAGAGGGUGACCGGCCACAAUGGGACUGAGAUACGGACCAGACUGCUACGGGAGGCAGAAGUGGGGAAUAUUGCACAAUGGGCGGAAGCCGGAUGCAGCAACGCCGCGUGCGGGAUGACGGCCUUCGGGUUGUAAACCGCUUUCGCCUGUGACGAAGCGUGAGUGACGGUAAUGGGUAAAGAAGCACCGGCUAACUACGUG